RNAcentral lists this ribosomal RNA (756 nucleotides) under uncultured bacterium. RNAcentral's name for it is "bacterial SSU rRNA". It matches the Rfam family "Bacterial small subunit ribosomal RNA", at positions 8 to 796 of the family's 1533-position model. The record is from RNAcentral.
AGAGUUUGAUCAUGGCUCAGAAUCAACGCUGGCGGCGCGCUUAACACAUGCAAGUCGAACGAGAAAGUGGAGCAAUCCAUGAGUACAGUGGCGUACGGGUGAGUAACACGUGGGUGAUCUACCUCUUAGUGAGGAAUAACCCUGGGAAACCGGGGCUAAUACCGCAUGAGCCUGAGAAGGGAAAGUCGCAAGACGCUGAGAGAGGAGCCCGCGGCCGAUUAGCUAGUUGGUAGGGUAAGAGCCUACCAAGGCAUAGAUCGGUAGCCGGCCUGAGAGGGCACACGGCCACACUGGCACUGAAACACGGGCCAGACUCCUACGGGAGGCAGCAGUGGGGAAUCUUGCACAAUGGGGGAAACCCUGAUGCAGCGACGCCGCGUGAGCGAUGAAGCCCCUCGGGGUGUAAAGCUCUUUCGGCAGGGAAGAUUAUGACGGUACCUGCAGAAGCAGCUGCGGCUAACUACGUGCCAGCAGCCGCGGUAAUACGUAGGCAGCGAGCGUUGUUCGGUGUUACUGGGCGUAAAGGGUGUGUAGGCGGUUCUUUAAGUUUGGUGUGAAAUCUCCCGGCUUAACCGGGAGGGUGCGCCGAAUACUGAGGGACUAGAGUACGGGAGAGGAAAGUGGAAUUCCUGGUGUAGCGGUGAAAUGCGUAGAUAUCAGGAGGAACACCGGUGGUGUAGACGGCUUUCUGGACCGUAACUGACGCUGAGACACGAAAGCGUGGGUAGCAAACAGGAUUAGAUACCCUAGUAGUCC